This 468-nucleotide ribosomal RNA is filed under the name uncultured bacterium. Its description in RNAcentral is "partial 16S ribosomal RNA". It matches the Rfam family "Bacterial small subunit ribosomal RNA", at positions 28 to 507 of the family's 1533-position model. The record is from RNAcentral.
GACGAACGCUGGCGGCGUGCUUAACACAUGCAAGUCGAACGGAAAGGCCCUGCUUUUGUGGGGUGCUCGAGUGGCGAACGGGUGAGUAACACGUGAGUAACCUGCCCUUGACUUUGGGAUAACUUCAGGAAACUGGGGCUAAUACCGGAUAGGAGCUCCUGCUGCAUGGUGGGGGUUGGAAAGUUUCGGCGGUUUGGGAUGGACUCGCGGCUUAUCAGCUUGUUGGUGGGGUAGUGGCUUACCAAGGCUUUGACGGGUAGCCGGCCUGCGAGGGUGACCGGCCACAUUGGGACUGAGAUACGGCCCAGACUCCUACGUGAGGCAGUAGGGGGGAAUAUUGCACAAUGGGCGGAAGCCUGAUGCAGCAACGCCGCGUUCGGGAAGACGGCCUUCGGGUUAUAAACCGCUUUCGCCUGUGACGAAGCGUGAGUGACGGUAAUGGGUAAAGAAGCACCGGCUAACUACGUG